This is a long non-coding RNA of Gasterosteus aculeatus aculeatus (three-spined stickleback), 314 nucleotides long. The record is from Ensembl. Lineage: Eukaryota; Metazoa; Chordata; Actinopteri; Perciformes; Gasterosteidae.
AGGGAAUUGCAACCCGAUGGGUUUUGCAGUUCCUGACCAAAAUGGGUGCAAAGGGAGACUUUUACGGCUGGUUGGAUGGAAACAAAGAGGAAUCUCCAAGCAGGAAUCCUUCAAAAACCUUUGUAUCUUCUUCCCUGAGCGAACCAUGGAAAUGCUCGACUGGGACGACAGAACAAAGACAUCGGACCUGCUGGUCGUCCCAAAACGUAGAGGCCAGGCUCGCUUCCCAGUCGAAGUACGUUCCCUACGGGCCGGUGGACGAGGUGAUGCCGCACCUGUCUCGAGGAGCCCAGGAGAACCGAGGCUUCAUGGUG